AAGUAAAUGCUUGUCUAAAAGAUUAAGCCAUGCAAGUGUAAGUAUAAGUCCUAGUACGACGAAACUGCAGACGGCUCCAUUAGCAGUUAUAAUUUAUUUGAUUAUGGAUGCUUACCUUAUUGCUAUACUUGGAGAUGAAGGCGGCCCUGUGUCGCCGUUAAACGAAAAGUAUAAAGGGCAUUAUUAAACGGAUAACCUUGAUAAAUUGUGGCUAAUACGUGCUAACUAAGCUUUACCCUGAGUGAAGGGUGAAGGCUUUGUACUUGUUAGUUUAUUAAAUAAAGGUUGAUAAACCAACUUUAAAAGAAAUAGAACUAAGUGAAAGUUAACAAUUUAUCGAAUCUGUUAAAGGACCAAAGACGACAGUCUUUUUCAUUGCGCCGGCGUCAAAMCCGGUGCAGUUUUGACCUGCUAUUCCUAGAAUUGUCAGGUUGAGAGUCCUUUAAAGUCAAUCAGAUGUUUCAUUCAAAUUUCUGGUCUAUCAAUUAGAAGCUAGGGUAGUUGCCUAGCUUGAUAAUAACGGAUCCGGGGAAUUAGGGUUCGAUACCGGAGAAGGAGCCUGAGAGACGGCUCCUGUUGCUACGGUGAACAGCAGGCGCGAAACUUUCCCAAAUUUUGACUUAAAGAGGAAGUGACAAGAAAUAUUAACGCGGUCAGCUUUCAUGUUGACUGUACUGUUAAAAUGAGGACAAGUUAAAAUUCUUACCGAUUAACAAUUAGAGGGCAAGUUCUGGUGCCAGCAGCCGCGGUAAUUCCAGCUCUAAGGGUUCGUUUAUUUUAGUUGUUGUAGUUAAAACGCUCGUAGUUGGAACUUUUUUCAAUUUAUGAUCUUAAAUCAUUUAAGAGACUUAAAUGAAACUAAGAGAAGAAGAGCUUUUUAUCUCCUCUUUUCACGAAGUUGAGACUCUUCUCUUUUAUUACUGUGAACAAAAUUUAGUGUUCAAAGCAAGCUAUUGUUAUCUAAACACUUGUAGACACAUGGAGUGAUAUUUUGUGGAUUCAUUUCCUCCGCUCUAGUCUAUAACGUGGCUCUGAGAAAAUUAGCAUGGAAUAAUGGAAUAAGACCUUUUUGGGUUUUUGUUUAUGUUUGGUUUUUGACCUUUUCUCCCAAUAGGUAAUGAUUAAAAGGGACAGAUUUCAGGACUUUUUCUCGCACUUGAACUUAUGGUUACACAUGAUCAUGUCUUCGGAUGUGUGAUUUGCGUCAUUCGGGAUAUGCGGGUUAUAUAUUGAUUCUGAAUUUUAUCGGGGGCGUUAAUAUUCAACGGGGAGAGGUGAAAUUCAGUGAUCCGUUGAGGAUUAACAGGAGCGAAAGCGUUCGCCAAGGAUGUUUUCAUUAAUCAAGAACGAAAGUUAGGGGAUCGAAGACGAUCAGACACCGUCGUAGUCCUAUUUUACCGUAAACGAUCUCGACUAAGGAUUGGGUCUCAGAGGAUCUCGCUUUGGCCUUUAAAGCUAUCACACGAUGUGUUUGUCCGGCUAGUCAUUUUCUUGGCUGAAGGACGCACUGACUGUGUUUAUCGGCCGCGAGCCUCUAUUUGACAGGGUAAUUCAGGGGACCUGGCCUUGUGCCACGGCUCCCCAAUAAAGGUUACCUUAUGGAAGACUCAGGACUUGAAGGAGAAAUCAUUAAGUGAACGGAGUCUAGGGGGAAGUAUUAACGCAAGUUUGAAACUUAAAGGAAUUGACGGAAGAGCACACAAUAAGUGGAGCUUGUGGCUUCUAAUUUGACUCAACGCGGGAAAACUUACCAGAUCCGGAUUGGAUUAGGAUUGACAGAUUGACAGCUCUUUCAUGAUUUUCAAAGUGGUGGUGCAUGGCCGUUCUUGGUUGGUGAAGUGAUUUGUCUGUGUUAAUUCCGAUAACGAACGAGACCUUGACUUACAUGUUUAAAUCUGCAUGAUACUAAUUUCCUACUUAUGGUGUUCCUUUUCUUUUAAAGGCUUCACCUUGGAAACUCAUGUAUGUGCAUUUCGUAUUUACUUGUGCAUGGCUUUUUUUAAAACCGUGUUCAAUUGCGGAUUGUAUUUAACCUUGAAGGACGAUUCAUUUAUUAUAGUGAAAGGAAGAGCGAGGCAAUAACAGGUCUGAGAUGCCCUUUGAUGUUCUGGGCUGCACACGUGCUACAAUGAUAGUGGUAACGAGCUUCUUUUAUUAGUAAGUGCGCUAUGGCAUUUGGAUUCGUUCAUCUGCUUGCACUUCGAUGAUAAAAGCCUUGCCUGAAAAGGCUGGGAAAACUUUUGAAUCACUAUCUUACUUGGAAUAGGUUAUUGUAAUUAUUGACCUUGAACGAGGAAUUUUUAGUAAGCGCAAGUCAUUAUCUUGCGCUGAUUAAGUCCCUGCUCUUUGUACACACCGCCCGUCGCUUGCCGUGAUGAAGGAACUAGUUAAUUGAGUAGAUUUGGCCAGCUGUAGCUCUUCGGAGUGUGCUGGAGGGAGAAGCUUAAUGUACUAUUUUCUUUAAAAUGGGAAGAAGUCGUAACAAGGUAUCU
This 2492-nucleotide ribosomal RNA is filed under the name Anaeramoeba flamelloides. RNAcentral's name for it is "partial small subunit ribosomal RNA". It matches the Rfam family "Eukaryotic small subunit ribosomal RNA". The record is from RNAcentral. Lineage: Eukaryota; Anaeramoebidae.